CCUACGGGAGGCAGCAGUGAGGAAUAUUGGUCAAUGGACGAGAGUCUGAACCAGCCAUGCCGCGUGAAGGAAGACUGCUCUAUGAGUUGUAAACUUCUUUUAUACAAGAGUAAACCUGUCUACGUGUGUUCUGCUGUAGGUACUGUACGAAUAAGGAUCGGCUAACUCCGUGCCAGCAGCCGCGGUAAUACGGAGGAUCCAAGCGUUAUCCGGAUUUAUUGGGUUUAAAGGGUGCGUAGGCGGAUUGUUAAGUUAGUGGUGAAAGGUUCGGGCUUAACCCUGGAACUGCAGUUGAUACUGGCAGUCUAGAGAGCAGUAGCGGUAGGCGGAAUGUAUGGUGUAGCGGUGAAAUGCUUAGAGAUCACACAGAACACCGAUUGCGAAGGCAGCUUAC
This 394-nucleotide ribosomal RNA is filed under the name uncultured bacterium. RNAcentral describes it as "partial 16S ribosomal RNA". It matches the Rfam family "Bacterial small subunit ribosomal RNA", at positions 338 to 729 of the family's 1533-position model. The record is from RNAcentral.